RNAcentral lists this ribosomal RNA (497 nucleotides) under uncultured bacterium. RNAcentral's name for it is "partial 16S ribosomal RNA". It matches the Rfam family "Bacterial small subunit ribosomal RNA", at positions 28 to 507 of the family's 1533-position model. The record is from RNAcentral.
GACGAACGCUGGCGGCGUGCCUAAUACAUGCAAGUUGAGCGCUGAAGGUUGGUACUUGUACCAACUGGAUGAGCAGCGAACGGGUGAGUAACGCGUGGGGAAUCUGCCUUUGAGCGGGGGACAACAUUUGGAAACGAAUGCUAAUACCGCAUAAAAACUUUAAACACAAGUUUUAAGUUUGAAAGAUGCAAUUGCAUCACUCAAAGAUGAUCCCGCGUUGUAUUAGCUAGUUGGUGAGGUAAAGGCUCACCAAGGCGAUGAUACAUAGCCGACCUGAGAGGGUGAUCGGCCACAUUGGGACUGAGACACGGCCCAAACUCCUUCGGGAGGCAGCAGUAGGGAAUCUUCGGCAAUGGAUGAAAGACUGACCGAGCAACGCCGAGUGAGUGAAGAAGGUUUUCGGAUCGUAAAACUCUGUUGGUAGAGAAGAACGUUGGUGAGAGUGGAAAGCUCAUCAAGUGACGGUAACUACACAGAAAGGGACGGCUAACUACGUG